CCUACGGGGCGCAGCAGUGAGGAAUAUUGGUCAAUGGGCGCUAGCCUGAACCAGCCAAGUCGCGUGAAGGAUGACUGCCCUAUGGGUUGUAAACAUUUUCUACAUGGGAAUAAAGUGCAGUAUGUAUACUGUCUUGCAUGUACCUUAUGAAUAAGGAUCGGCGAACUCCGUGCCAGCAGCCGCGGUAAUACGGAGGAUCCGAGCGUUAUCCGGAUUUAUUGGGCUUAAAGGGAGCGUAGGCGGGUUGUUAAGUCAGUUGUGAAAGUGUGGGGCUCAACCGUAAAAUUGCAGUUGAUACUGGCAUCCUUGAGUACAGUAGAGGUAGGCGGAAUGCGUGGUGUAGCGGUGAAAUGCUUAGAGAUCACGAAGAACUCCGAUUGCGAAGACAGCCUGCUGGACUGUAACUGACGCUGAUGCUCGAAAGUGUGGGUAUCAAACAGGAUUAGAUACCCCUGUAGUC
Molecule: ribosomal RNA, 460 nt
Filed under: uncultured bacterium
Lineage: Bacteria
Description: partial 16S ribosomal RNA
Rfam family: Bacterial small subunit ribosomal RNA
Source: RNAcentral